Molecule: transfer RNA, 73 nt
Filed under: Canis lupus familiaris (dog)
Lineage: Eukaryota; Metazoa; Chordata; Mammalia; Carnivora; Canidae
Also listed under: 1 other name
Rfam family: tRNA
About the family: Transfer RNA (tRNA) molecules are approximately 80 nucleotides in length. Their secondary structure includes four short double-helical elements and three loops (D, anti-codon, and T loops).
Source: Rfam by way of RNAcentral
GCCUGGCUGGCUCAGUCAGUAGAGCAUGUGAUUCUUGAUCUCAGGGUUGUGAGUUCGAGCCCCAUACUGGGCA